Molecule: ribosomal RNA, 497 nt
Filed under: uncultured bacterium
Lineage: Bacteria
Description: partial 16S ribosomal RNA
Rfam family: Bacterial small subunit ribosomal RNA
Source: RNAcentral
GAUGAACGCUGGCGGCGUGCCUAAUACAUGCAAGUCGAGCGAACAGACGAGGAGCUUGCUCCUCUGACGUUAGCGGCGGACGGGCGAGUAACACGUGGAUAACCUACCUAUAAGACUGGGAUAACUUCGGGAAACCGGAGCUAAUACCGGAUAAUAUAUUGAACCGCAUGGUUCAAUAGUGAAAGACGGUUUUGCUGUCACUUAUAGAUGGAUCCGCGCCGCAUUAGCUAGUUGGUAAGGUAACGGCUUACCAAGGCAACGAUGCGUAGCCGACCUGAGAGGGUGAUCGGCCACACUGGAACUGAGACACGGUCCAGACUCCUACGGGAGGCAGCAGUAGGGAAUCUUCCGCAAUGGGCGAAAGCCUGACGGAGCAACGCCGCGUGAGUGAUGAAGGUCUUCGGAUCGUAAAACUCUGUUAUUAGGGAAGAACAAAUGUGUAAGUAACUAUGCACGUCUUGACGGUACCUAAUCAGAAAGCCAUGGCUAACUACGUG